Long non-coding RNA from Amblyraja radiata (thorny skate), 81 nucleotides. RefSeq lists it as uncharacterized. Lineage: Eukaryota; Metazoa; Chordata; Chondrichthyes; Rajiformes; Rajidae. The transcript is spliced from 3 exons. The record is from RefSeq and is a predicted model, not a curated record.
CUGAUGUUAUUUAAAGGGGAAAGUUUCGAGUCGACCUUUGUGUUGCUGGAUUUACAAAGCGUUAAGUGGCAAAGGAGAGAA